Molecule: ribosomal RNA, 777 nt
Filed under: uncultured Neocallimastigales
Lineage: Eukaryota; Fungi; Neocallimastigomycota; Neocallimastigomycetes; Neocallimastigales
Description: partial large subunit ribosomal RNA
Rfam family: Eukaryotic large subunit ribosomal RNA
Source: RNAcentral
AUAUCAGUCAUGCAUAGCAUAUCAAUAAGCGGAGGAAAAGAAACUAACAAGGAUUCCCUUAGUAACGGCGAGUGAAGCGGGAAGAGCUCAAAUUUGAAAUCUUCAAGGUUUUACCUUGACGAAUUGUAGUUUAAAGAAGUGUUUUCUGUUGAAGUUUUGGUAAAAGUUCUUUGGAAUAGGACAUCAUAGAGGGUGAGAAUCCCCGUAUUUGACCAUUACUUUCAGCUUUGUGAUACACUUUCAAAGAGUCGGAUUGUUUGGGAAUGCAGUCCAAAAUGGGUGGUAAAUUUCAUCUAAAGCUAAAUAUUGGCGAGAGACCGAUAGCGAACAAGUACCGUGAGGGAAGGAUGAAAAGAACUUUGAAAAGAGAGUUAAACAGUACGUGAAAUUGUCAAAAGGGAAGCGUUUGACACCAGUGUUGUUUUCUCGAGAAUCAAUUAAAAAGAGUUGGAUUUUGUGUUGUAUUGACUUUAUCGGCUUUCUUCACUCUUUUCCAGCUUUUUUUAAUGCACUUUUCGUUUAACAAGUCAACAUCAGUUUCUUUUGUUGUAAAAAGGUCAUUGGAAGGUGGCUUUCUCUUCGGAGAAAGUGUUUAUAGCCUUUGACUCAUGCAAUCGGAGAGGACUGAGGUCUGCAGCGUAGAUCCUUCGGGGUUAGAUACAUUUGCUGCUAAGUUAUAGCUUUUCAUAGACAACUUGUUGACUAUGUUUAGUCUUGUAGCUUACUCGCUUAUGCUAUUUUACCUACGCUUAGGAUGUUGAACUCUAUCACACACAG